AUGACUUAAAAGGUAAGUACUCUUUUAUUUUAAUAAGUGACACUGAAGCUGGAAGAACAAAGGACUCUGUAGGAUCACACAGCCAGGGACAGGCCAGUAGCUUAAGUUUUUCUUAACCCUUUGACAUCUGCUGUACUAGUCAGUAGUGAGUCCUGGCAUCCAUUAUAGCAGUAUGGAAACACUGGCAGACACUUGGCUUAUUUAUCACCUUUUGGUACAACAAUAAGCUACGCCGUGUGCAAAGACUGUCGAUGAGGAAUGUGUAUCUGAUUAUGUAUAGAUUACGAGCAAUGCUGGGAUUAAAGGCGUGUGCCACACGCCCGCCACUCCAUCUUUUUAUUCACAGAUUUCUCCUCAGCCCAGUCUUUCUCCAGAACCUGCCCGUUCCGCAUGGUGUUCUUUGAUCCUCUCACAGUCCUGAUGCUCUCAACAAUUCCCAAAUCCCCUUACCAACCAGGAACACCUGCUCCAAGCUGGUGUGACAUUCACAUUCAGACCCUUACAUGGAAGGCUACCCUCUCUAGUAUCUGGCCAGCUGCAAACUGUUGGGGAAUCAAGAGGAUCUCUCUCUCCCUUCCUCUCCCCAAAAGUUUUUGGUACACCAUUCCCAACCUUUUUUCACAACUUCAUUUGCUCUUGAAGAGACAUCACAAUCCCUGACUGCCUAACAAUCUGGUCUCAACCCCUCCCACACCCCUGUAACUCACCUUGACAUUUCCUGCUGUUGUUUGCUUCUGAUGGCUUCUCACAUUUAUAGUCCGUGUGAGCCUCAGAAAGGCAAGUUUUGUGCAGUUCCAAGCUUCUCCUACUUGAACAAAUCGGGAGCAGGUGCUUUUUUGUUUUGUUUUGUUUUUCUAUAAAAGCAGGACAGAGAGAUUUCUCAUUAUUCCAGGGAAACAUCUCCUCACUAGUACAAGAGUACAUUUGCAAACCAGCCUUUCAAAGAGCUAUUUCAAAAGCAAUAAGCAAGUGGUUCCAUGGUGAGGAUUACAAACACACCCUCAGGGUCAGUCAAGGGUGAGGAGGACAGUUCUAAUAUGGCAAGACACAUUGGGCCAGACUCCAUGAGAGAGUGUCAGACAUCUUUAAAGUGCUGUAUCACAAACAACUUAGAUGCAAGCAAAGGAGAGCUACUUAAACUAGGUGUACAUAUCAUGAAGGUGUUGAUUCACAAGAUGCUUGUGGAGAAUUUGAAGCUAAUUGUUAAUGUGAGAAUGGGGAAAAGCAAUAUUUUGUAUUAUUGUAAUAUAUAUUGUUAUUUUAAAAUAAGCAUGUAUAAUUAAAUAAAUUAGAUAUUAUAAAUAGA
RNAcentral lists this long non-coding RNA (1306 nucleotides) under Mus caroli (Ryukyu mouse). Its description in RNAcentral is "lncRNA (MGP_CAROLIEiJ_G0004748.1)". The record is from RNAcentral. Lineage: Eukaryota; Metazoa; Chordata; Mammalia; Rodentia; Muridae.